RNAcentral lists this ribosomal RNA (326 nucleotides) under uncultured eukaryote. RNAcentral describes it as "partial 18S ribosomal RNA". It matches the Rfam family "Eukaryotic small subunit ribosomal RNA", at positions 1470 to 1796 of the family's 1831-position model. The record is from RNAcentral.
CCCUUAGAUGUUCUGGGCCGCACGCGCGCUACACUGAUGCAUUCAACAAGCCUAGCCUUGACCGAGAGGUCCGGGUAAUCUUUGAAACUGCAUCGUGAUGGGGCUAGAUUAUUGCAAUUAUUAAUCUUCAACGAGGAAUGCCUAGUAAGCGUGAUUCAUCAAAUCGCGUUGAUUACGUCCCUGCCCUUUGUACACACCGCCCGUCGCUCCUACCGAUUGAAUGUGUUGGUGAGGAGCUCGGAUUGGCAGCAGUUGAUGGUUCGCCACCGGCUAUUGCUGAGAAGUCCUCCAAACCGCCCCAUUUAGAGGAAGGAGAAGUCGUAACA